UCAUGGAGUUGUGAGGACUGCCUGAGAUAAAGGGCUUAGGAGAAAAACAGGAUGGAACCUAACACCCUCUGGCAAAAUGAAAGAAAAAGUUGCUGAUCAACAAACCCUCACAUGGCAUUUAGAGAGGAUGGAGUUUCGCUCUUGCUGCACAGGAUGGAGUGCAAUUGCAUGAUCUCAGCUCACCACAACCUCCACCUCCCAGGUUCAGGUGAUUCCCCUGCCUGAACCUCCUGAGUAGCUGGGAUUACAGGCGUGAGCCACCGCAUCUGGCCUCUAUAUUUUAUUCUUAAAUUUAGUGAUUCACUGCUCAUUAUGUUAAUCGUUUUUUUUGUUUUUUUUGUCACCCAGGCUGGAGUGCAGAGGUACAAUCACGGUUCACUGUAGCCUUGACUUCCUGGGCUCAAUCCAUCCUCCCACCUCAGCCUCCCAAGUAGCUGGGAUUACAGGCGUGCCUCCAUAUCCAGCUAAUUUCUGUAUUUUUUGUAGAGACAGAGUUUUACUAUAUUUCCCAGGUUGGUCUCAAACUUCUGGGCUCAAGCAAUCCACUCACCUCAGACUCCUGAAGUUCUGGAAUUACCAGCAUGCACCACUGUAACCAACCUCUACACAUUUUUGUCUAAAAUAUUUCAUAAUAAAGAAUUUGGAUGAAUGUAUAGACAAUGAUAUGUAAUAAAUUUUAAUAUGUUAUAUAUUAAACAUGUUUAUAUUUUUACAUAUAACAUAUAUAAUUUGCCUUAUAUCUUCUGUUCCUAGUUACUGAUUCUACUCAUUAUAUUACCAUUAUCAUCAUCAUCACAUUAU
This is a long non-coding RNA of Symphalangus syndactylus (siamang), 801 nucleotides long. RefSeq lists it as uncharacterized. The record is from RefSeq and is a predicted model, not a curated record. Lineage: Eukaryota; Metazoa; Chordata; Mammalia; Primates; Hylobatidae.